This 333-nucleotide ribosomal RNA is filed under the name Enterobacter cloacae. RNAcentral describes it as "bacterial SSU rRNA". It matches the Rfam family "Bacterial small subunit ribosomal RNA", at positions 153 to 481 of the family's 1533-position model. Lineage: Bacteria; Pseudomonadati; Pseudomonadota; Gammaproteobacteria; Enterobacterales; Enterobacteriaceae. The record is from RNAcentral.
GAAACGGUAGCUAAUACCGCAUAACGUCGCAAGACCAAAGAGGGGGACCUUCUGGCCUCUUGCCAUCAGAUGUGCCCAGAUGGGAUUAGCUAGUAGGUGGGGUAACGGCUCACCUAGGCGACAAUCCCUAGCUGGGCUGAGAGGAUGACCAGCCACACUGGAACUGAGACACGGUCCACACUCCUACGGGAGGCAGCAGUGGGGAAUAUUGCACAAUGGGCGCAAGCCUGAUGCAGCCAUGCCGCGUGUAUGAAAAAGGCCUUCGGGUUGUAAAGUACUUUCUGCGGGGAGGAAGGUGUUGUGGUUAAUAACCCCAUCAAUUGACGUUACCCG